RNAcentral lists this ribosomal RNA (333 nucleotides) under uncultured bacterium. Its description in RNAcentral is "bacterial SSU rRNA". It matches the Rfam family "Bacterial small subunit ribosomal RNA", at positions 8 to 334 of the family's 1533-position model. The record is from RNAcentral.
AGAGUUUGAUUAUGGCUCAGGACGAACGCUGGCGGCGCGCCUAACACAUGCAAGUCGAACGGAAUUAAGAGGAGCUUGCUUUUCUUGAUUUAGUGGCGAACGGGUGAGUAACGCGUGAGUAACCUGCCCUGGAGUGGGGGACAACAGUUGGAAACGACUGCUAAUACCGCAUAAGCCCACGGUACCGCAUGGUACUGAGGGAAAAGGAUUUAUUCGCUUCAGGAUGGACUCGCGUCCAAUUAGCUAGUUGGUGAGGUAACGGCCCACCAAGGCGACGAUUGGUAGCCGGACUGAGAGGUUGAACGGCCACAUUGGGACUGAGACACGGCCCAG